GGGGCUGGGAUGUUAAGAGGGUGAAUGUCUAGUACAGCCGCUAGACGGCGAAACCGCGAAUGGCUCAAUAAAUCAGUUAUGGUUCCUUAGAUCCACUCCAUCCUACUUGGAUAACUGUGGUAAUUCUAGAGCUAAUACAUGCACUCGAGCCUCGACUGCGCCCGCUUCGCGGUGGGUGCAGAAGAGGUGCUUUUAUUAGAUCAAAACCAGUCGGGGCGAGCGGCGGGCAACCGUCGCGCGACCCGUACCAAUUUUGGUGACUCUGGAUAACUUCACGCCGAUCGCAUGGCCUUCGAGCCGGCGACGUAUCUUUCAAAUGUCUGCCUUAUCAACUGUCGAUGGUAGGUUACGCGCCUACCAUGGUUGCUACGGGUAACGGGGAAUCGGGGUUCGAUUCCGGAGAGGGAGCCUGAGAAACGGCUACCACAUCCAAGGAACGCAGCAGGCGCGCAAAUUACCCACUCCCGGCACGGGGAUGUAGUGACAAACUAUAACGAUACGCGGACUCUUCCGAGGCCCCGUGAUUGGAAUGAAAACACUUUAAAUCCUUUAACGAGGAACCAUUGGAGGGCAAGUCUGGUGCCAUCAUCCUCGGUCACUCCAACUCCAAUACCCUAUAUUAAACAUCUCCUCGAAUUAAUAUCAUCCUAUUCAGACUGUCUUUUCUUGCAGCUCGUCGGCGACCGCACAUGAAUCUCACGGUGGGGGGGAAUUUGGGGU
This 720-nucleotide ribosomal RNA is filed under the name Daphnia magna. RNAcentral describes it as "bacterial SSU rRNA". The stretch from base 11 to 610 matches the Rfam family "Eukaryotic small subunit ribosomal RNA", at positions 34 to 594 of the family's 1831-position model. Lineage: Eukaryota; Metazoa; Arthropoda; Branchiopoda; Diplostraca; Daphniidae. The record is from RNAcentral.